ACCUUACCAGCCCUUGACAUCCCCGAUCAGGAUUAUCAGAGAUGAUGAUUGUCGGUUCGGCCGGAUCGGUGACAGGUGCUGCAUGGCUGUCGUCAGCUCGUGUCGUGAGAUGUUGGGUUAAGUCCCGCAACGAGCGCAACCCUCGCCCUUAGUUGCCAUCAUUAAGUUGGGCACUCUAAGGGGACUGCCGGUGAUAAGCCGAGAGGAAGGUGGGGAUGACGUCAAGUCCUCAUGGCCCUUACGGGCUGGGCUACACACGUGCUACAAUGGUGGUGACAGUGGGCAGCGAGACCGCGAGGUCGAGCUAAUCUCCAAAAGCCAUCUCAGUUCGGAUUGCACUCUGCAACUCGAGUGCAUGAAGUUGGAAUCGCUAGUAAUCGUGGAUCAGCAUGCCACGGUGAAUACGUUCCCGGGCCUUGUACACACCGCCCGUCACACCAUGGGAGUUGGCUUUACCCGAAGGUGCCGCGCUAACCGCAAGGAGGCAGGCAACCACGGUAGGGUCAGCGACUGGGGUGAAGUCGUAACAAGGUAGCCGUAA
Molecule: ribosomal RNA, 541 nt
Filed under: uncultured Hyphomicrobiales bacterium
Lineage: Bacteria; Pseudomonadati; Pseudomonadota; Alphaproteobacteria; Hyphomicrobiales
Description: bacterial SSU rRNA
Rfam family: Bacterial small subunit ribosomal RNA
Source: RNAcentral